This 241-nucleotide long non-coding RNA is filed under the name Brassica rapa (field mustard). RNAcentral describes it as "long non-coding RNA (BRAP_LNC007967)". The record is from RNAcentral. Lineage: Eukaryota; Viridiplantae; Streptophyta; Magnoliopsida; Brassicales; Brassicaceae.
CGCCGGAAAAUUCAACUCCGAUGGUUAAAGACAAAACCUUUGAAUCUCCGGUCGUAAACGGAACCAACCCAGUUGCCAAAAACAGUACUUUACAAUCACCGGCGCCGGAAAGUCGAACUCCGGUUGCUAAAAACGCAACCUUUGUAUCUCCGGUCGUAAACGGAACCAACCCAGUUGCCAAAAACAGUACUUUGCAAUCACCGGCGCCGGAAAAACGAACUCCGGUUGCUAAAAACACAAC